RNAcentral lists this ribosomal RNA (457 nucleotides) under Sinochauliodes squalidus. RNAcentral's name for it is "partial large subunit ribosomal RNA". The stretch from base 1 to 166 matches the Rfam family "Archaeal large subunit ribosomal RNA", at positions 1945 to 2143 of the family's 2987-position model. Lineage: Eukaryota; Metazoa; Arthropoda; Insecta; Megaloptera; Corydalidae. The record is from RNAcentral.
UCUAACCUGCCCACUGAAAUUUUUAAAGGGCCGCGGUAUUUUGACUGUGCAAAGGUAGCAUAAUCAUUAGUCUUUUAAUUGGAGGCUUGUAUGAAUGGUUGGAUGAGGUAUUAACUGUCUCAAUUUAAUAAAUAAAAGAAUUUUAUUUUUAAGUUAAAAAGCUUAAAUUUUAUUAAAAGACGAGAAGACCCUAUAGAUCUUUAUAGUUAAAUUUAUAAUAAUUUUUUAGAUUAAUUUUAUUUUUAUAAAUAUAAUUAUUGUAUUGGGGUGAUAAAAAAAUUUAUAAAACUUUUUUUGUAAAUUAACAAUAAUAUUUGAUUAAUUGAUCCAUUUUUUGUGAUUAUAAGAUUAAGUUACCUUAGGGAUAACAGCGUAAUUUUUUUGGAGAGUUCUUAUCGAUAAAAAAGAUUGCGACCUCGAUGUUGAAUUAAAGGUUAAUUUUAGGUGUAGAAGUUUA